RNAcentral lists this ribosomal RNA (424 nucleotides) under uncultured Clostridium sp. RNAcentral's name for it is "bacterial SSU rRNA". It matches the Rfam family "Bacterial small subunit ribosomal RNA", at positions 338 to 777 of the family's 1533-position model. Lineage: Bacteria; Bacillati; Bacillota; Clostridia; Eubacteriales; Clostridiaceae. The record is from RNAcentral.
CCUACGGGAGGCAGCAGUGGGGAAUAUUGCACAAUGGGCGAAAGCCUGAUGCAGCGACGCCGCGUGAACGAAGAAGUAUUUCGGUAUGUAAAGUUCUAUCAGCAGGGAAGAAGAAAUGACGGUACCUGACUAAGAAGCUCCGGCUAAAUACGUGCCAGCAGCCGCGGUAAUACGUAUGGAGCAAGCGUUAUCCGGAUUUACUGGGUGUAAAGGGAGCGUAGGCGGUCUUAUAAGUCUGAUGUGAAAGCCCGGGGCUCAACCCCGGGACUGCAUUGGAAACUGUAGGACUAGAGUGUCGGAGGGGUAAGUGGAAUUCCUAGUGUAGCGGUGAAAUGCGUAGAUAUUAGGAGGAACACCAGUGGCGAAGGCGGCUUACUGGACGAUUACUGACGCUGAGGCUCGAAAGCGUGGGGAGCAAACAGGA